This 26-nucleotide non-coding RNA is filed under the name Rattus norvegicus (Norway rat). The record is from RNAcentral. Lineage: Eukaryota; Metazoa; Chordata; Mammalia; Rodentia; Muridae.
GCCUCUAUGUAUGUGCCUGCUACCCA